This 721-nucleotide ribosomal RNA is filed under the name Tardiphaga robiniae. RNAcentral's name for it is "bacterial SSU rRNA". It matches the Rfam family "Bacterial small subunit ribosomal RNA", at positions 58 to 822 of the family's 1533-position model. The record is from RNAcentral. Lineage: Bacteria; Pseudomonadati; Pseudomonadota; Alphaproteobacteria; Hyphomicrobiales; Nitrobacteraceae.
CAAGUCGAACGGGCGUAGCAAUACGUCAGUGGCAGACGGGUGAGUAACGCGUGGGAACAUACCUCUUGGUUCGGAACAACACAGGGAAACUUGUGCUAAUACCGGAUAAGCCCUUACGGGGAAAGAUUUAUCGCCGAGAGAUUGGCCCGCGUCUGAUUAGCUAGUUGGUGGGGUAAAGGCCUACCAAGGCGACGAUCAGUAGCUGGUCUGAGAGGAUGAUCAGCCACAUUGGGACUGAGACACGGCCCAAACUCCUACGGGAGGCAGCAGUGGGGAAUAUUGGACAAUGGGCGCAAGCCUGAUCCAGCCAUGCCGCGUGAGUGAUGAAGGCCCUAGGGUUGUAAAGCUCUUUUGUACGGGAAGAUAAUGACGGUACCGUAAGAAUAAGCCCCGGCUAACUUCGUGCCAGCAGCCGCGGUAAUACGAAGGGGGCUAGCGUUGCUCGGAAUCACUGGGCGUAAAGGGUGCGUAGGCGGGUUUUUAAGUCAGAGGUGAAAUCCUGGAGCUCAACUCCAGAACUGCCUUUGAUACUGAAAGUCUUGAGUAUGGGAGAGGUGAGUGGAACUGCGAGUGUAGAGGUGAAAUUCGUAGAUAUUCGCAAGAACACCAGUGGCGAAGGCGGCUCACUGGCCCAUAACUGACGCUGAGGCACGAAAGCGUGGGGGAGCAAACAGGAUUAGAUACCCUGGUAGUCCACGCCGUAAACGAUGAAUGCCAGCCG